Molecule: ribosomal RNA, 267 nt
Filed under: uncultured archaeon
Lineage: Archaea
Description: partial 16S ribosomal RNA
Rfam family: Archaeal small subunit ribosomal RNA
Source: RNAcentral
AGUCACUGACAUUAGAUACCCGUGUAGUCCAGGGUGUAAACGCUGCAGACUUGGUGUUGGGGGCCCUUUGGGGGCAUUCAGUGCCGGAGAGAAGUUGUUAAGUCUGCUACUUGGGGAGUACGUCCGCAAGGAUGAAACUUAAAGGAAUUGGCGGGGGAGUACCGCAACGGGAGGAGCGUGCGGUUUAAUUUGGAUUCAACACCGUAAAACUCACCAGGGAAGACUGUUACAUGAAGGCCGAGAUGAAGACUCUGCUAGAUUUUUCAG